UCUCUCUCUCACACACACACACCCACCCACCCACCCAAACACACAAACCUGCAGAUCCCAGAGUCUGCAAUUAUUACUUUCCGAUUAGAAUUCAAAAACUUUCGUUUUCGAUUCCCGAGAAAGUCCAAAUUCGCGACUUUCUAGGCCACUCUUCUUGACCAAUACAUUCACUACAAAUUCAAUCCGGAGACUCUGUGGUUUUUCGCAGAGUGAUGUGCAAUGGAGUCCCAAGGACACCAAAUCUCUCCGUCUUCUUCCACUCAUGCUCUUCAUUCUCAAGCUCACGUUGAUUCGUUUAUUUCAGAACUCCAUGAGAAGCAUCAGCAGGAGCUAGAGAAUCUGUCAUUGACAGCACAGCCCUUGAAGACGAUAAAAUUGUUCACUUUGGCUGUUAUUCAAUAUCUUCAGCAACCACUAUUUUGUAUCUUUGAGAAGCGUGGUUGGCUUAUGCUUCUAAGUGUUCUCUCUGGGGGUAUUGGAAUACUGAUGACUAUAGUCAGUGGGCCUCACAAAGAGCAUUUUCAGGAGCUUCUUUAUUAUCUUCAAUUUGGACUAUGGUGGUUAGCCCUUGGUGUAGCAUCAUCAAUUGGUUUGGGUUACUUGAUGCUGCUCUGAGUAUAUAUGCUCAAUUAAGCGCUCCACACCGAGGAAUGGCCUUUCUUUCCAUGAGAAAUUAAGUUUUUCUCUUAUAAGUGAUUAUUGGAUCUAUAUCACGGUGUUGUUAUUCAUGCAAUGUAGCUUCACUUGAAGAUCAUUUUAUUUAUGCCCAAAAAUUGCUGGAAAGCAGGAUUUUAAAAGCUAGAAUGGCUUCACGCCAAAGUGAUUCAAGCAAAAUUUGGAUAGCACAUGGCAUGACCAAACAGAAGAUUGUGAAUUGACUUUCUGCUAAAGUUCUGUCACAUUCUACGGCAGGGCCAACACACACCCUCUUUAGGGAUCAGUUUGAAGAGAGUUCUGUCACAUUCCCAUGGCAGGGCCAACACAUAUUCUCUUUAGGGAUCAGUUUGAAGGUUCUGGUUUGCACACCUUUGUGUUGUAUUUGGGCCCACACAUUGCCCUAUUUACAAUGAAAUCUGUGCAUUGUGGCCGCGUCGAUAUAAAAAGUGCUCCGUACGAUACAAUUCAGUUGAAAAGUGGUCCUUCAUGGCUG
Cornus florida is the source of this 1150-nucleotide RNA transcript. It is a transcript of the gene named vacuole membrane protein KMS1-like, with no coding region annotated. The transcript is spliced from 5 exons. The record is from RefSeq and is a predicted model, not a curated record. Lineage: Eukaryota; Viridiplantae; Streptophyta; Magnoliopsida; Cornales; Cornaceae.